Danionella cerebrum is the source of this 73-nucleotide non-coding RNA. NCBI's taxonomy places the organism in Eukaryota, Metazoa, Chordata, Actinopteri, Cypriniformes, Danionidae. The record is from the annotation of a GenBank genome assembly.
UUUUCCGUGGUUCAGUUGGUAGAGCUUUGUGCUAACAAUGCAAAGGUUGUGUGCUCAAAUCCCAGAGGGAACU